CCGGAUCAAGAACAACUGGCAUACAACUCCCCGUAGGCUAGGACAGGCAGUGAUCUUUACUUGCGGGAAUUGUUAACCUGCGGCCUUUCCGCUGUCGAUGCUGCCCCUCUUGAAGUGUCGCGUUUGAAAUGAGCGACUGUCAGAUUCCGCCCAUACAGAGGUACUUGAUUUCGAGAUAAUCCUCGAUGCCGUACCUGGAGCCCUCGCAUUGCCGCUUUCCUUGACACCGCCGAAGGGGGCGACCUCGGUUGAAAUGAUGCCUUCGUUGAUGCCGACCAUGCCGUACUCAAGCGCCUCGGCGACG
Molecule: unclassified non-coding RNA, 304 nt
Filed under: Hevea brasiliensis (rubber tree)
Lineage: Eukaryota; Viridiplantae; Streptophyta; Magnoliopsida; Malpighiales; Euphorbiaceae
Source: RNAcentral